AAGCUACUCCCUCCGUCUGGAAAUACUUGUCUUAGAAAUGGAUAAAAUGGAUGUAUCUAUAACUAAAAUAAGUCUACAUACAACCAUUUCGAGGACAAGUAUUCCCAGACGGAGGGAGUAUUAA
Non-coding RNA from Triticum aestivum (bread wheat), 124 nucleotides. The record is from Rfam. NCBI's taxonomy places the organism in Eukaryota, Viridiplantae, Streptophyta, Magnoliopsida, Poales, Poaceae.